GCUAAUUUUGGUAUUUUUGUAGAGACAGGGUUUCACCAUGUUGGUCACGCUGUUCUCAAACUCCUGACCUCAAGUGAUCCACCCGCCUCGGCCUUACAAGCGUGAGUUACUGCACCCAGCCUGAAUCAAAGUUUUAACAUUGUCUCUUCCUCUGGGUGGCAAACGUGUCCAGUCAGGACAGAGUAUGUCCCGUGUGAAGUCACCCUGAGGAUUUGAGCAGGGGGUGGAACUCCAGACCCUCGUCUGAAGAACUGGUGGGACCCUGACCAGGUCCGGUUGUCCUGUCUGCGUAUGCAGGCCAGUGAGGUGCUGAGGUUGCGGCAGUGACAGCAGCGCUGAGGGCCAGCUUCAGGAGGACGCUCCUCAAGCCAAACAAAAAGUCUUCUCAAAAAAAUGGAGCUAAAGAUGGUCCCUUGGUGUGGCGUCUCAGUGCUGCUGCUGAAGUAUCUCCCAGGCCACCAGAAAGUUAAUCUGAGGAGGCAUUUUCCUCUUCCGAUUAGGCGGCUGUUCCGGCAGAAAUGGCUCAAGGAGAAAUUCUCCUGCCAGACUCAGUGUCUGCUAGGUGAAACUUCACUGGCGCAUUGCCAGCCCUGGCGCCCAAAUCUCUUUAAAUUAUGAGGUCAUAGAAUGCAUGCUUAAAGUCCCAGGCCUGUCAAGUUGCUCAGGGACAUUCAUACUGAGGAUUCAUUAAGAUAUUAAUUUGGUUAUCAGGAGUCUGGAUGGGGAUGAGAGGAGUGAAUUUUUAUUACAUGCUGGGAAAAUCAGAAUCAGCCCUCUAAUUGACUACGACUACUCUUUGCUGUCCCAAGAUGACUUUGCCAAAAAGCUGUGAGAAAAAGUCCUCAGAUCUCAAAGAUUCACUUGGUUACACCAGCUCGCUGGUGAGCCUGUGACUGCAGAGCCUCGGGAAGGCUGGAAGUUCUGGCUAGACUUCUGCUUUGCUCCGCCUGCUUGCCAGGGGCUUGGAGAAGUGUUUUGUUUUGUUUACUUUUUAGGAGAGUAUUCAAAGCACGUUCACAGUAAGAAAAAAAGACAGCCUGUGUCUUUAGGGACAGGGAGACUCUGAUUCCAGCACAGCUGACUGCCCAGCAACCCCAGAACUGGAAGGCUGGGCCCUGGGCUGCUCCUCACGGUCGGGGGAGCAUGGGCUGCUCAGCGGGGGGCCAAGAAGCAAAGUCAGGGUGCUGUCCUGUGGCUGGGGAGUGGGCUCAACUGGGAUAAGGGAAGCCCGGGGUGGGGCAUUGGCACGGAGCUGGGAGAUGAAUUACAGGAAGGAACUGGCAUGGCCUGAACUGCCCAGUGGCUUCUGCCUGGGAACACAGUUUACAGUAAGCUGAGUGGUCAGGAGACCUCAGGAGAGGGGAGUGUUGAUGAUUCAGGUGUUUGGUUGGUGAUCAUGUUAUCAAGACGGACUUGCAGUUAAGGUCGUGUCCCAGACGUUUGUUCAGAGGGCUCCUUCCCACUUCCACCUUCUCAUCUGUAAUGCCGACUAAUGGGAAACCUGGCCCAUGUCAGAUUUAUAUUAGGAACCACUGAUUUCUAUUUACAGGCUUUUUCCAUUGAAGAAUUUAAAGAUCUCAGAAGUCAUAUUUUUGUUAAGGCAUCAGAGGUCUCCCGGGGGACAGACACAGUCUCCAUCUUGACCAGGAAUGGUGAGACCACCCUUCUCCCUAUAAGGGAGAAGUAGCGUGUGUGGGACCACCCACCCACACAGCUGUCCCCUCACAGGGUGCCUCUUGUUCUUGCAGGUCACCAGGUGCUCUGAGCUGCCCUGCCUGGGCUCAGGCAUCAGCACUGUCCCAUCUGAGCUGUCACCUUGACCUUUCCGUAGGCCUCUGUCCUUGUCCGUGUCAGGGGGUGAUAGCCCCUCUGUGCUUUCAACUGAAGAGGAGUAGUGGGCUGAGAAGAGCUACGGGAAUACCAGCAUGCAGAAAAUACCCAGUAAUGAUGAACCGUUCCUUACAAGAAUUAAAAGUGAAAAUAGGAGGAAAAAUUAAUAAGAUAAAAUACAAUGGGAAAUAAUUAUUUAAGGAAAUUUCUUAAUCCACAAGCAGUAAAUAAGAAACUCCUAUUUCCUAGCAGCUGAAAGAUGUUUUUGCACUUGAGGCUAUGAAGCUGGGCAGGGUUUCAGCUGAGCUGAGGUUGGAAGUCCCUGACCUUCAGCUGUGUCUGCCUGGGGAGAGGCAGGAAGAGCAAACCCAUGCUCAGGCUAGACCCCAGCAGCACCCAAAGCGUGGAUGGAGCCACCAGCCUUCACUCCCCCGCCCUCCUUUCUUACUCCCGACCUGCGAACCUUAGCCUAAAAUCAGAGCUACUAAAAUCACACACACUGUUGUAGCUGGUUUUUUAUUGUAAAUGAGUCAUUCUGUUAUUUUGGAAACUUAUGUCUCAUGCCAGGAUCUGCAGAUAGUUCUUUUUCAAAAAACUGUUUAGACAAAAUAAAUUUCUUUAAAUAUAAUAUCUGUAAAUGCCUGGGGUGAUGCAUGCAUUUUUCUAGGCUGGCAAAGCUUGACGAUUAUUUCUGUAAUUUCAGUUAUAUUUACUUCCAUAUAUGCGUUACUCCAAAUAACAAACAAACAUGGAUUUUCUAACUUUGGCUUUAAAUCCCAAGAAGUGAUGGGUAAUAAUAAAAGAGCAUCAAAAAGAAAUAGAGAGUGAAGGUAUAUAUCGGGCAGAUGCAGAAGAAGAGCAGAGGUCAUGACAUUCAUGCUGGGCAAAGCUAAAUUGUGAAGACAACAGUGAUCAGUGACGCAGGAUUACUCAUCACGCUACAGCACAGUCCGUAGGAUGACGUAACUACCAUGAACGUGUGUGGCCUGCAAGAUUGAACAUUGAAACAUGUACAGCAAGAACUGUAGGGAAUUAAUGACAAAGUUGCUGAGUGUAGUGCUGGUGGGAGACGCACCCGGGCUUCCUGGCCUUGUACAGGUCAUGGAGUACACAUCAGCUGUCAUUACUGUGAGCCGGGAGAGACUUUCAGGUUCAGUGGCUGAAAAACAAACAUUCAUGGUAUAAGUUUUUAAACUUAAUAUAUAAUAGUUUGCAGAGAAAACCAAUGUGAUUUCCAAAAAUUUGAAAUAAUUAGAAACCUUAUUCUCACAUUAUAAUACAGUAAAAAUAGAAAUAAACACACAGGUGGAAACCAGGCAUACCUGGGAGUCCCUUCAUCACUCAAGCAAAACUUCCAUGGAGGCAAGGACCGUAGGUUUUGUUGAAAGCUUUAUCUUUGACCUCUAGAAUACUAGCACUAAGUAGACUCUGAACAAAUAUUGUUAAAUGAAUAAGAGCUAAUAAUCAUCAUAACUAUGCUGAAAGCACUAUUCUAAGCAUGGUGCAUUUACUAUCUCACUCGGUCCUCACAGUCCUCGUUUGAGGGAGGUGCUCCCCUCACCCCCAUUCCACAGAUGGGGGGAUGCAAAGCAUGGGCUCCAGAAUUGACAGCUGGCAAGUAGGAGACUGAGAUUCAGGCUGGGCUGUCAGACUUGGCUGUGGUCUCAUGUACAGAACCACCAUGGCCUCCAAAUGAAUGAAAAAAUGAGAAAAGGUAAUGGCUUACAGAGUUAAUGUGUAAAGACUGUUAUUAAAUAAGAAUGAAACAAAAUGAUUUAAACACUAAAGAGGUAGAAAAGAACCAAAAUAAUCAAAGAAGUACUGUGUUCUUUAAAAGACAAAAGCAGAAAUGAAUCAACUAAGAAAAGGAGAGAAUGAAACCCAGGAGCUGUUUGGAAGGGGGCAGAUGGCGGGUGACGCGGGGAGAGUCAAGACAAGUGGACAGACCUGGAG
Molecule: long non-coding RNA, 3783 nt
Organism: Sapajus apella (tufted capuchin)
Lineage: Eukaryota; Metazoa; Chordata; Mammalia; Primates; Cebidae
Exons: 3
Source: RefSeq, a predicted model, not a curated record